AGAGUUUGAUCAUGGCUCAGGACGAACGCUGGCGGCGCGCCUAAUCCAUGCAAGUCGAGCGACGCAUUCCUUAGCCCGUAAGGGCGGGUUUGACGGAGCGGCGAACGGGUGCGUAACACGUGACCAAUCUGCCCCGAAGACCGGGAUAGCCCGGGGAAACCCGGAUUAAUACCGGAUGAUCUCACCACCACGCAUGUGGAGGUGAGCAAAGGCUCAGGCGCUUCGGGAUGAGGUCGCGGCCCAUCAGCUUGUUGGUGAGGUAACGGCUCACCAAGGCAAUUACGGGUAGCUGGUCUGAGAGGACGAUCAGCCACACUGGAACUGAGAUACGGUCCAGACUCCUACGGGAGGCAGCAGGAGGGAAUCUUGCGCAAUGGGCGAAAGCCUGACGCAGCGACGCCGCGUGGGGGAUGAAUGCCUUAGGGUUGUAAACCCCUUUCACGAGGGAAGAAACUGACGGUACCUCGAGAAGAAGCCCCGGCCAACUACGUGCCAGCAGCCGCGGUAAUACGUAGGGGGCGAGCGUUGUCCGGAUUUAUUGGGCGUAAAGGGCUCGUAGGCGGCUUGGCAAGUCGGCCGUGAAAACCCAGGGCUCAACUCUGGGACGCCGGUCGAUACUGCCAUGGCUAGGGUCCGGUAGAGGGNAAUGGA
This 651-nucleotide ribosomal RNA is filed under the name uncultured Actinomycetes bacterium. Its description in RNAcentral is "bacterial SSU rRNA". It matches the Rfam family "Bacterial small subunit ribosomal RNA", at positions 8 to 665 of the family's 1533-position model. The record is from RNAcentral. Lineage: Bacteria; Bacillati; Actinomycetota; Actinomycetes.